CAAUUUAACGUUGACUCCGAUCAUGCAUUUGUUAAACAUGGAUACAUUUUACUUUCUCAGCUUGGUGUUUUCGGCCAUUGUCAUUAAAGGUGCGUGUGAGCGGUGUUACGAGUGCACCACGCUGCGGGAUGGGAAGGUGUGUGGCGACAUGUUCAUAGCUUCCACCGCCCACAACCUCAACAUGUCCACUCCCGCCGACUGCCUUACGUGCGGCAAGAUAGCCUUUUUUCUAGGCAGGGUGAAAGUGGUAGCGCGGAUCUGUGAGCGGCAGUGGCAGGCGACGGCCUGCGACCACAGCCCGGCUACAAACAACCGGAGAUCCCCCAACGAGUGCUACUGCAACUCAGAUCUCUGCAACACUUCCGGCCGCCUGGUUGCCUCCACGGGGACGUUCGCAAUUCAUAUUAUUUUCGGAUUUGCCUACUUGAAGUUCCUUUACUGAUGAUAUAUGACCAGUAAUCUAUUUCACCACACGUCCGUUCUCAUUAUUUUCACAAUCGGGAAGACAGUGGUCGUAUAUUUCAACGCUAAAAAUACACGGAUUUAAAGACAUUUUAUUUUAUUUUUCUCUUCAUCACAAUAGUUACAAAUUACUUAUCAAAGCGCUGGAAAAAACUUGAGGUAUUUACUGCAUUGACACAAGUGAUCAUACAUUUGAAUGAAAGGCCGGUAUUCUAUGUUCACGAUUUCCGCAUCCGUAUUCUGCACAUGUUUUACACAUCAUUAUUUCAAAACGGACGCCGUGUGAAUGCGGAUUGGAUGCGUGUGGCAGGAUCCGGACAUAUGGAAUAGAUUAAACGGUGUAAAGCAACAAACCCCUAACGCUGCUGUAUAUGGUGAGCUUGAAAGAUUCCCUUUAUCCAUUUUAUUCAAGGAACGAUCUGUUAAAUUUUGGUUAAAAGUAAAGAAAAAUGUAAAUUCACCAAUACAUAUGGUAUAUAAUGAUUUGAAUGCUAAUAUAAAUAAUUCUUCUUGGGCAAAGAGAAUAAAUUCCAUUAUUGAUCAUCUUGGUUUUAUGGAUGUAAGACUAAACUUCGAUGUAAACAUAAAUUAUCUUCCUCUACUUAAAUGUAGAAUUCGUGAUCAGUUUAUUCAAGAAUGGAAUGCUUCUAUAAAUAGUAUGCCAAACCUUUCAUUGUAAUAUAAACUUAAAGAAAACUUUUCUUUUGAAAAUUAUCUUGUACAAAUUAAAAAUGAUAGACUAAGAAAAUAU
Molecule: RNA transcript, 1213 nt
Organism: Mya arenaria
Lineage: Eukaryota; Metazoa; Mollusca; Bivalvia; Myida; Myidae
Exons: 4
Source: RefSeq, a predicted model, not a curated record